Molecule: long non-coding RNA, 861 nt
Filed under: Nicotiana tabacum (common tobacco)
Lineage: Eukaryota; Viridiplantae; Streptophyta; Magnoliopsida; Solanales; Solanaceae
Description: long non-coding RNA (NTAB_LNC008579)
Source: RNAcentral
AUUAUCGACAAAUCAUCUCAAGAUUAGUGUUACCAAUUAAUUUUGCAUCAAAGAAAGAGUUGUUUCUCAAGCUCUUUAGCCCUCUUCUCAUCGAUGGUGGUCGCAAGGUAUGUACGUGCUUUGCUUUGUAAUCCUGCUGUAAAUUAACAAGACUAGUGAGAUGGUUCUUUUCCAAGAAGACAAUCUUUCUCGCACGCUCAUAUUCAUAGAAAGCAAAUAGAUUGAUAUUUAUUCGACAACAAUAUUAGCGAGUAAUCUCAAAUGAUAAAUUGAUGACAAAGAACUCUUGCAUCUUCUCAUUUUCCUUUCUAUAACAUUACUGCAGACCUUUUCAAUUGAUAGAAUAUCAAGUAAAAAGUGUUAUAUGUUGAGUGCAAGGGAGCUAUCAAUUGCUUGGUCCACCAAUCCCCUCUACUGGUGCUGGAAACCCCUUCUUCACUCAAGGUCCCCUUCUCCUUUAAUUUCCUGUUUCUUUCAGUCCUUAAUUAAUGCCUACUAUAUCCCAAAUAUUAGUUAUUUAUUAGAAAAUUAAGGACAUAAUCUCACAAUUUGACUUUAAUUUUCGGUAGCUCCUCAAAACUACCCUAAUUAAAUAUAUCCUAUUUUAUGCGUUGCAACAGAUUUCCAGAAGGUGUGGAGCUUAUAAUGGUAUGUUGGCUAGAAAUUAAAGGAAAGAUAAAUACUCGAAUGUUGUCUCCGCGUACAACAUAUGGAGCUUACCUCAUUGUCAACCUGGCUGGUCGUGCUUUCGGCUUAGACUCCUUACCAUCUGAGAUAUCUGUCAAAGUAGGAGGAGACCAUGAAUCCAAAGGAAUUGUUUUAAUACGUCGUAACUAUACUAACAGUAGAAAACAAGAAUUG